GCGGGGUAGCUCAGUUGGUUAGAGCAGAGGAAUCAUAAUCCUUGUGUCGGGGGUUCAAAUCCCUCCCUCGC
Molecule: transfer RNA, 71 nt
Filed under: pig gut metagenome
Also listed under: 1 other name
Rfam family: tRNA
About the family: Transfer RNA (tRNA) molecules are approximately 80 nucleotides in length. Their secondary structure includes four short double-helical elements and three loops (D, anti-codon, and T loops).
Source: RNAcentral